UACGGAGGGUGCGAGCGUUGUCCGGAAUCAUUGGGCGUAAAGGGCGCGUAGGUGGCCCGGUCAGUCUUUGGUGAAAGCGCGGGGCUCAACCCUGCGUCGGCCAGGGAUACUGCCGCGGCUCGAGCACUGUAGAGGCAGGCGGAAUUCCGGGUGUAGCGGUGGAAUGCGUAGAGAUCCGGAAGAACACCGGUGGCGAAGGCGGCCUGCUGGGCAGUUUAGCUGACACUGAGGCGCGGCAGCGUGGGGGAGCAAACAGGG
This 258-nucleotide ribosomal RNA is filed under the name uncultured bacterium. Its description in RNAcentral is "partial 16S ribosomal RNA". It matches the Rfam family "Bacterial small subunit ribosomal RNA", at positions 524 to 777 of the family's 1533-position model. The record is from RNAcentral.